Molecule: ribosomal RNA, 253 nt
Filed under: uncultured bacterium
Lineage: Bacteria
Description: partial 16S ribosomal RNA
Rfam family: Bacterial small subunit ribosomal RNA
Source: RNAcentral
UACAGAGGGGGCAAGCGUUGUUCGGAAUUACUGGGCGUAAAGGGCGCGUAGGCGGCCCGCUAAGUCGAACGUGAAAUCCCCGGGCUCAACCCGGGAACUGCGUCCGAUACUGGCAGGCUUGAAUCCGGGAGAGGGAUGUGGAAUUCCAGGUGUAGCGGUGAAAUGCGUAGAUAUCUGGAGGAACACCGGUGGCGAAGGCGGCAUCCUGGACCGGCAUUGACGCUGAGGCGCGAAAGCCAGGGGAGCAAACGGG